RNAcentral lists this long non-coding RNA (936 nucleotides) under Vombatus ursinus (common wombat). RNAcentral's name for it is "lncRNA (ENSVURG00010000801.1)". Lineage: Eukaryota; Metazoa; Chordata; Mammalia; Diprotodontia; Vombatidae. The record is from RNAcentral.
AAUGAAUGAAUGAAUGAACAAACAAACAGUAAAGUUUGAAAAUAAAUGUUUGAUAGCUUAGAAUUGAGUUAUUGCUCAGUAGGAACAUUGGAUUUGAAACUCUAAUUUUGUAUUCUGUCGUUCUAGAGUGACCCCCUAGUGUUUAGUUUACAUGUUUAGUUUCCCAGAGGAGCAGAAAGGAGACAAAAGUUGAUGACUCCUGAAUUGGAAGUUCUUUCUUUUGAGUUCCUCCUUGUCUUCUCGCCGUAUUGUACCAGCCACUCUCCAUUGUCUCUAGCUUGACAGAUCUACAUGGGUAGUCUUGUCUUCCUCCUCCAAUUUCAGUUCAAAACACUCCUUGAAGAGAUUGGUCAAGUUGAUAAAAGCAAUCCAAGAGUCUUCAAUUUUCACGAGCCACAAAAGUGAAAAAGGGAGGAUCUUUUUUUUUGAAGUAUCAGCAGGUGGGCUAUGGAACUUGGCGGAAAGCACAAAAGAUCUGAGGAUAAAGGAACCCAGUGACAAGCAUAAAUUCUGUAAGGCAAAAUGCAGUGUGAGCCCUUUAUCCAAGUUCCCUGAUACACUGAAGUGAAGGAAAGAAAGGAAGAGCUUUGGAUGAGAUGAUCUGCUUGGAGAACUGCCCUUUGAGGUUGACAAUGGAUCUGCAGUGGUUCCCUGAAGAGGAAAACAUUGUACCAAGUUCACCCAACCUCUCUGAAUCACCGACUCCAAAGGAGGGACUCAAGAAGCAGAGAGGAAGAAGCCCUGAAUCUGGAAUCAGAAGACAUGAGUCCUGCCUUUGCCCCUUACUACCUGUGGGACAUUGGCCAAGCUAUUAAAGUUAUAUGGGCCUCAGUUUCCUCUUAUAGGAACUGGGAAAAAAAACUUGUAGCAUCUACUACAGAAGAUUACUGUGAAAGAAAAGCAAUGCCUUCUAUAAAUGCAAACUAUUAUUAAUAG